RNAcentral lists this ribosomal RNA (496 nucleotides) under uncultured bacterium. Its description in RNAcentral is "partial 16S ribosomal RNA". It matches the Rfam family "Bacterial small subunit ribosomal RNA", at positions 29 to 507 of the family's 1533-position model. The record is from RNAcentral.
AUGAACGCUGGCGGCGUGCCUAAUACAUGCAAGUCUAGCGAACGGACGAGAAGCUUGCUUCUCUGAUGUUAGCGGCGGACGGGUGAGUAACACGUGGAUAACCUACCUAUAAGACUGGGAUAACUUCGGGAAACCGGAGCUAAUACCGGAUAAUAUUUUGAACCGCAUGGUUCAAAAGUGAAAGACGGUCUUGCUGUCACUUAUAGAUGGAUCCGCGCUGCAUUAGCUAGUUGGUAAGGUAACGGCUUACCAAGGCAACGAUGCAUAGCCGACCUGAGAGGGUGAUCGGCCACACUGGAACUGAGACACGGUCCAGACUCCUACGGGAGGCAGCAGUAGGGAAUCUUCCGCAAUGGGCGAAAGCCUGACGGAGCAACGCCGCGUGAGUGAUGAAGGUCUUCGGAUCGUAAAACUCUGUUAUUAGGGAAGAACAUAUGUGUAAGUAACUGUGCACAUCUUGACGGUACCUAAUCAGAAAGCCACGGCUAACUACGUG